RNAcentral lists this ribosomal RNA (661 nucleotides) under uncultured bacterium. RNAcentral describes it as "bacterial SSU rRNA". It matches the Rfam family "Bacterial small subunit ribosomal RNA", at positions 8 to 716 of the family's 1533-position model. The record is from RNAcentral.
AGAGUUUGAUCAUGGCUCAGGAUGAACGCUGGCGGCGUGCUUAACACAUGCAAGUCGAACGAACCUUCGGGUUAGUGGCGGACGGGUGAGUAACGCGUGAGAAUCUGCCCUCAGGAGGGGGAUAACAGUUGGAAACGACUGCUAAUACCCCAUAUGCCGAGAGGUAAAAUGAAUUUUGCCUGGGGAUGAGCUCGCGUCUGAUUAGCUUGUUGGUGGGGUAAAGGCCUACCAAGGCUUCGAUCAGUAGCUGGUCUGAGAGGACGAUCAGCCACACUGGGACUGAGACACGGCCCAGACUCCUACGGGAGGCAGCAGUGGGGAAUUUUCCGCAAUGGGCGCAAGCCUGACGGAGCAACGCCGCGUGAGGGAUGGAGGCCUUUGGGCUGUAAACCUCUUUUCUCAAGGAGGAAGAUCUGACGGUACUUGAGGAAUAAGCCACGGCCAAUUCCGUGCCAGCAGCCGCGGUAAUACGGGAGUGGCAAGCGUUAUCCGGAAUUAUUGGGCGUAAAGCGUCCGCAGGCGGCCGUUUAAGUCUGUUGUUAAAUCGUGGAGCUCAACUCCAUCACGGCAAUGGAAACUGUUCGGCUUGAGUAUGGUAGGGGCAGAGGGAAUUUCCGGUGUAGCGGUGAAAUGCGUAGAUAUCGGGAAGAACACCAGUGGC